RNAcentral lists this ribosomal RNA (866 nucleotides) under uncultured Caminicella sp. RNAcentral describes it as "bacterial SSU rRNA". It matches the Rfam family "Bacterial small subunit ribosomal RNA", at positions 56 to 921 of the family's 1533-position model. Lineage: Bacteria; Bacillati; Bacillota; Clostridia; Peptostreptococcales; Caminicellaceae. The record is from RNAcentral.
UGCAGUCGAGCGGACCAAUGUUCAUUUCAGCUUUGCUGAUUUGAGCAACGGUUAGCGGCGGACGGGUGAGUAACGCGUGGGCAACCUGCCCUGUGCAGGGGGACAACACAGCGAAAGCUGUGCUAAUACCCCAUAAGACUACGCUAUCGCAUGAUAGAGUAGUCAAAGCUUUAGCGGCACAGGAUGGGCCCGCGUCUGAUUAGCUAGUUGGUGGGGUAACGGCCUACCAAGGCGACGAUCAGUAGCCGACCUGAGAGGGUGAUCGGCCACACUGGAACUGAGACACGGUCCAGACUCCUACGGGAGGCAGCAGUGGGGAAUAUUGCACAAUGGGGGAAACCCUGAUGCAGCAACGCCGCGUGAGCGAAGAAGGCCUUCGGGUCGUAAAGCUCUGUCCUAAGGGAAGAAGCAUGACGGUACCUUAGGAGGAAGCCCCGGCUAACUACGUGCCAGCAGCCGCGGUAAUACGUAGGGGGCGAGCGUUAUCCGGAAUCACUGGGCGUAAAGGGUGCGUAGGCGGCCGAGUAAGCCAGAGGUGAAAGGCUACGGCUUAACCGUAGUAAGCCUUUGGAACUACUUGGCUUGAGUGCAGGAGAGGGAGAGUGGAAUUCCUNAGUGUAGCGGUGAAAUGCGUAGAUAUUAGGAGGGAACACCAGGUGGGCGAAGGCGACUCUCUGGACUGUAACUGACGCUGANGCACGAAAGCGUGGGGGAGCAAACAGGAUUAAAUACCCUGGUAGUCCACGCCGUAAACGAUGAGUGCUAGGGUGUCGGGGNUCACACCCUCGGUGCCGGAGUNACGCAAUAAGCCCUCCNCCUGGGGAGUACGGUCCCAAGACUGAAACUCAAAGGGAUUGGCGGGGACC